UACGGAGGGUGCAAGCGUUAUCCGGAUUCACUGGGUUUAAAGGGUGCGUAGGCGGGUAAGUAAGUCCGGGGUGAAAUCUCUGAGCUUAACUCAGAAACUGCCGUGGAUACUAUUUGCCUUGAAUAUUGUGGAGGUGAGCGGAAUAUGUCAUGUAGCGGUGAAAUGCUUAGAUAUGACAUAGAACACCAAUUGCGAAGGCAGCUCACUACACAAUCAUUGACGCUGAGGCACGAAAGCGCGGGGAUCAAACAGG
RNAcentral lists this ribosomal RNA (253 nucleotides) under uncultured bacterium. Its description in RNAcentral is "partial 16S ribosomal RNA". It matches the Rfam family "Bacterial small subunit ribosomal RNA", at positions 524 to 776 of the family's 1533-position model. The record is from RNAcentral.